Molecule: long non-coding RNA, 534 nt
Filed under: Marmota monax (woodchuck)
Lineage: Eukaryota; Metazoa; Chordata; Mammalia; Rodentia; Sciuridae
Source: RNAcentral
UUUUUCCUAGAUUAUCUGACUUUUCAACUAUUCCUUUACUGUUUUUUCACAAUGUGAUAUAUGAAAUAAUACCAUAAAAACUUUGCAUGCAUGCAUAUGUGCACAUACACACAAACACGAAAAAUGAUUCACUAAAUUAAGCAACACUAGACAUAAAAAAGAAUCAUCUUGGUCAGUUUAAAAAAUAGUAAUGAUCUUCAUAUCAUUGGGUUAUAUAAGGGAGAUCGAUAAGUAGCAUUCCUCCAACAAAGUUCACAACCAAUUAAGAGUUAAGGUAAAACAAUAAAACUGAUAAAAGGCCAAAUGCUGAUAAUAUAAUAUUGUAUAAUAUGAGUUAUACCAUUGGGCAAGUUUCUUAGUAUUGAAUCCCAGAAUUAGACAGACUAGCCCUCCCACAUUUGUUCAACAGUGGCUACCUCAGUUUACUGUGGGUGGGAGUCCUCUUUCAGUGAAACUGAAAGCAGAGAGGGAAGGAACACAACAUGUAUUCUCUGUGGGCAAACAAACUGCCAGAAAAAGUGGAAGAUACUGAAC